This 1382-nucleotide ribosomal RNA is filed under the name uncultured bacterium. RNAcentral describes it as "16S ribosomal RNA". It matches the Rfam family "Bacterial small subunit ribosomal RNA". The record is from RNAcentral.
UUCGCCCUUAGAGUUUGAUCCUGGCUCAGGAUGAACGCUGGCGGCGUGCUUAACACAUGCAAGUCGAACGGACUUUACAUGAAGCCUAGCGAUUGUAAAGUUAGUGGCGGACGGGUGAGUAACGCGUGAAUAACCUGCCCUGUACCGGGGGACAACAGUUGGAAACGGCUGCUAAUACCGCAUAAGCGCACGGUUCCGCAUGGAACAGUGUGAAAAACUCCGGUGGUACAGGAUGGAUUCGCGUCUGAUUAGCCAGUUGGUGGGGUAACGGCCUACCAAAGCAACGAUCAGUAGCCGGCCUGAGAGGGUGAACGGCCACAUUGGGACUGAGACACGGCCCAAACUCCUACGGGAGGCAGCAGUGGGGGAUAUUGCACAAUGGGGGAAACCCUGAUGCAGCGACGCCGCGUGAGUGAAGAAGUUAUUCGUAACGUAAAGCUCUAUCAGCAGGGAAGAAAAUGACGGUACCUGACUAGGAAGCCCCGGCUAACUACGUGCCAGCAGCCGCGGUAAUACGUAGGGGGCAAGCGUUAUCCGGAUUUACUGGGUGUAAAGGGAGCGUAGACGGCACAGCAAGUCUGAUGUGAAAGCCCGGGGCCCAACCCCGGAACUGCAUUUGGAACUGUAGAGCUAGAGUGUCGGAGAGGCAAGUGGAAUUCCUAGUGUAGCGGUGAAAUGCGUAGAUAUUAGGAGGAACACCAGUGGCGAAGGCGGCUUGCUGGACGAUAACUGACGGUGAGGCGCGAGAGUGUGGGGAGCAAACAGGAUUAGAUACCCUGGUAGUCCACACUGUAAACGAUGAAUACUAGGUGUGGGGGGAUUGACCCCUUCCGUGCCGGAGUAAACACAAUAAGUAAUCCACCUGGGGAGUACGACCGCAAGGUUGAAACUCAAAGGAAUUGACGGGGGCCCGCACAAGCAGUGGAGUAUGUGGUUUAAUUCGACGCAACGCGAAGAACCUUACCAGGUCUUGACAUCGAGUGACAGUCUAAGAGAUUAGGCUUUCCCUUUGGGGACACAAAGACAGGUGGUGCAUGGUUGUCGUCAGCUCGUGUCGUGAGAUGUUGGGUUAAGUCCCGCAACGAGCGCAACCCUUAUCAUUAGUUGCUACGCAAGAGCACUCUAAUGAGACUGCCGUUGACAAAACGGAGGAAGGUGGGGAUGACGUCAAAUCAUCAUGCCCUUUAUGACCUGGGCUACACACGUACUACAAUGGCGUUUAACAAAGAGAAGCAAAGCCGCGAGGCAGAGCAAAUCUCCAAAAAACGUCUCAGUUCGGAUUGUAGGCUGCAACUCGCCUACAUGAAGUCGGAAUUGCUAGUAAUCGUAGGUCAGCAUACUACGGUGAAUACGUUCCCGGGCCUUGCACUCACCGCCCGUCA